UUUCCGUAGGUGAACCUGCGGAAGGAUCAUUAUCCAUCUCAACCAGAUGCGGUCGCGGCCCCCAGGAGCGUUAACUCCUGGGCGGUAGGGGUAACACCUGCACGCGCCGUGUUUCUGAAUCCUUUUUUUACGAGCACCUUUCGUUCUCCUUCGGUGGGGCAACCUGCCGCUGGAAUUACAAAACCUUUUUUGCAUCUAGCAUUACCUGUUCUGAUACAAACAAUCGUUACAACUUUCAACAAUGGAUCUCUUGGCUCUGGCAUCGAUGAAGAACGCAGC
RNAcentral lists this unclassified non-coding RNA (279 nucleotides) under uncultured fungus. Its description in RNAcentral is "sequence contains ITS1, 5.8S rRNA gene". The stretch from base 231 to 279 matches the Rfam family "5.8S ribosomal RNA", at positions 1 to 49 of the family's 154-position model. Lineage: Eukaryota; Fungi. The record is from RNAcentral.